GCAGGUGCCAUGGCAGGCUCUCCACAGAAGCGGUUGAGGAUUUGAGAAGAGGUUGCAGAUGAUCAAGGAGCGACACGUGCAGGGAUGGCUUGAAAAGGGUGAUUAGCUUCAGGUUCCAGGUGGGACCUAGUGGUAACUGAGUUGCAGGUAUUCCAUGACAGAGCUCCUUCUGCCUGGGCUGCUUUUUGGGUAGGUAAACAUUAGGAGGAACCGGUCAAAGGUAACAGCGCUUUCUGGAACCGUCAAGUUCUUGUUCGGCAACGUAGUGACUGGUUUGAUCUACUUCACAGAUGGAGAGUGGUAGAUAACAUUUAUAAGGAAUCGGUCAAAGGAAAGAGCGCCUUCUGGAACUGUGAAGCUCUGUGUUGGCAACUCGGUGACUGGCUGGACCUACUGUCCAUCUCC
RNAcentral lists this long non-coding RNA (405 nucleotides) under Anas platyrhynchos platyrhynchos (common mallard). Its description in RNAcentral is "lncRNA (ENSAPLG00000019950.1)". Lineage: Eukaryota; Metazoa; Chordata; Aves; Anseriformes; Anatidae. The record is from RNAcentral.